UGAAUAGGAGAUGCUACGGCGUCGAAGCAGUCUAUGUCAUACUUCCAAGAAAAGCUCGCAAUGUCAGAAGCAAAGAAUGCCGGUACCAUAACCGACACAGGUGAGUAGGUAGGGUAUACUAAGGGGCGCGAGAGAACUCUCUCUAAGGAACUCGGCAAAAUGACUCCGUAACUUCGGGAGAAGGAGUGCCUUAUUUUUAAGGUUGCAAUAACAAGAUCCAAGCAACUGUUUAUCAAAAACACAGGUCUCCGCGAAGUCGUAAGACGAUGUAUGGGGGCUGACGCCUGCCCAGUGCCAGAAGGUUAAAGAAGUUGGUUAGGAUAUCUUUGAUAAUCGAAGCUGAUAACUGAAGCCCUGGUGAACGGCGGCCGUAACUAUAACGGUCCUAAGGUAGCGAAAUUCCUUGUCGGGUAAGUUCCGACCCGCACUAAAGGCGUAAUGAUUUGGAUACUGUCUCGGAGAGGGGCUCGGUGAAAUAGACUUGUCUGUGAAGAUGCGGACUACCUGCACCUGGACAGAAAGACCCUAUGAAGCUUUACUGUAACUUGAGAUUGAAAUUGGACUUUAUUUGCGCAGUAUAGGUGGGAGGCGUUGAGAAUAUUCUUGCGGGAAUAUGGAGCCAUCAGUGAGAUACCACUCUUGUAAUGUUAGAUUUCUAACUUUGGAUCAUGAUCUGGUCAAAGGACAGUUUCAGGCGGGCAGUUUGACUGGGGCGGUCGCCUCCCAAAGGGUAACGGAGGCGUACAAAGGUUUCCUCUGAACGGGUAGAAAUCGUAUCUAGAGUGUAAAGGCAUAAGGAAGCUUGACUGUGAGACCUACAAGUCGAGCAGGGACGAAAGUCGGUCUUAGUGAUCUGACGGUGCUGAGUGGAAAGGCCGUCACUCAACGGAUAAAAGUUACUCUAGGAUAACAGGCUGAUCUCCCCCAAGAGUUCACAUCGACGGGGAGGUUUGGCACCUCGAUGUCGGCUCAUCGCAUCCUGGGGCGGUAGUACGUCCCAAGGGUUGGGCUGUUCGCCCAUGAAAGCGGUACGCGAGCUGGGUUCAGAACGUCGUGAGACAGUUCGGUCCAUAUCCGGUGUAGGCGUUAGAAUAUUGAGAGGAGCCUUCUUUAGUACGAGAGGACCGAGAAGGACAUACCUCUGGUGUACCAGUUAUCGUGCCAACGGUAAACGCUGGGUAGCUAUGUAUGGAGAGGAUAACCGCUGAAAGCAUCUAAGUGGGAAGCCCACCUCAAGAUAAGUAUUCUCA
Molecule: ribosomal RNA, 1250 nt
Filed under: metagenome
Description: bacterial LSU rRNA
Rfam family: Bacterial large subunit ribosomal RNA
Source: RNAcentral